This 460-nucleotide ribosomal RNA is filed under the name uncultured bacterium. RNAcentral's name for it is "bacterial SSU rRNA". It matches the Rfam family "Bacterial small subunit ribosomal RNA", at positions 339 to 791 of the family's 1533-position model. The record is from RNAcentral.
UUACGGGAGGCAGCAGUGGGGAAUUUUGGACAAUGGGGGAAACCCUGAUCCAGCCAUGCCGCGUGGGUGAAGAAGGCCUUCGGGUUGUAAAGCCCUUUCGGUGGGGACGAAACGGUACGUGCUAACACCACGUACUAAUGACGGUACCCACAGAAGAAGCACCGGCUAACUACGUGCCAGCAGCCGCGGUAAUACGUAGGGUGCAGGCGUUAAUCGGAAUUACUGGGCGUAAAGCGUGCGCAGGCGGUUUGCUAAGACAGGUGUGAAAUCCCCGGGCUUAACCUGGGAACUGCGCUUGUAACUGGCAAGCUGGAGUGUGGCAGAGGGGGGUGGAAUUCCACGUGUAGCAGUGAAAUGCGUAGAGAUGUGGAGGAACACCGAUGGCGAAGGCAGCCCCCUGGGCUAACACUGACGCUCAUGCACGAAAGCGUGGGGAGCAAACAGGAUUAGAUACCCCGGU